UUGCCAGACUCCUACGGGAGGCAGCAGUGGGGAAUAUUGGGCAAUGGGCGCAAGCCUGACCCAGCAACGCCGCGUGAAGGAAGAAGGCUUUCGGGUUGUAAACUUCUUUUGUCAGGGACGAAGCAAGUGACGGUACCUGACGAAUAAGCCACGGCUAACUACGUGCCAGCAGCCGCGGUAAUACGUAGGUGGCAAGCGUUAUCCGGAUUUACUGGGUGUAAAGGGCGUGUAGGCGGGACUGCAAGUCAGAUGUGAAAAUUAUGGGCUCAACCCAUAACCUGCAUUUGAAACUGUAGUUCUUGAGUGAUGGAGAGGCAGGCGGAAUUCCUAGUGUAGCGGUGAAAUGCGUAGAUAUUAGGAGGAACACCAGUGGCGAAGGCGGCCUGCUGGACGACAACUGACGGUGAGGCGCGAAAGCGUGGGGAGCAAACAGGAUUAGAUACCCUUGUA
RNAcentral lists this ribosomal RNA (450 nucleotides) under uncultured bacterium. RNAcentral's name for it is "partial 16S ribosomal RNA". It matches the Rfam family "Bacterial small subunit ribosomal RNA", at positions 328 to 792 of the family's 1533-position model. The record is from RNAcentral.